GAGCGCUUUAGGGCCGGUACUUUGGACGGACCGUGUGAGCGACGAAUUUUGGACUACCGCGUGGGGAAUCUGCCUUUGAGCGGGGGACGACAUUUGGAAACAAAUGCUAAUACCGCAUAGAAACUUUAUGCUAAGUUUUAAGUUUGAAAGAUGCGUUGCAUCACUCAAAGAUGAUCCCGCGUUGUAUUAACUUCUUGGUGAAGCUGCGGCUCACCAAGGCGAUGAUACAUAGCCGACCUGACAGGGUGAUCGGCCACAUUGGAACUGAGACACGGACCGGCUCCUAGGGGAGGAGAACGGGGAAUCUUCGGCAAUGAACGAAAGUCUGACCGAUUCCGCCUGGUGAGUGAAGAAGAUUUUCGGAUCGUAAAACUCUGUUGGUAGAUUCAACUCUGGUGAUCUGUGUUCUCAAAAGUGACGGGACUACCCUGUUGGACGGCUAACUACUUGCCCCACCGCGCUAAUAAUACGUCCCGAGCGUUGUCCGGAUUUAUUGGGCGUAAAGCGAGCGCAGGUUUUUAGUAAGUCUGGUGUAAAAGGCGUGUCUCAACCACUGUAUGCAUUGCAUCUGGUA
RNAcentral lists this ribosomal RNA (574 nucleotides) under Lactococcus lactis. Its description in RNAcentral is "bacterial SSU rRNA". It matches the Rfam family "Bacterial small subunit ribosomal RNA", at positions 64 to 632 of the family's 1533-position model. Lineage: Bacteria; Bacillati; Bacillota; Bacilli; Lactobacillales; Streptococcaceae. The record is from RNAcentral.